This 475-nucleotide ribosomal RNA is filed under the name uncultured bacterium. RNAcentral's name for it is "bacterial SSU rRNA". It matches the Rfam family "Bacterial small subunit ribosomal RNA", at positions 915 to 1391 of the family's 1533-position model. The record is from RNAcentral.
GGGGGCCCGCAAGCGGCGGAGCAUGCGGAUUAAUUCGAUGCAACGCGAAGAACCUUACCAAGGCUUGACAUGAACCGGAAAGACCUGGAAACAGGUCCCCCGCUUGCGGUCGGUUUACAGGUGGUGCAUGGUUGUCGUCAGCUCGUGUCGUGAGAUGUUGGGUUAAGUCCCGCAACGAGCGCAACCCUCGUUCUAUGUUGCCAGCGCGUUAUGGCGGGGACUCAUAGGAGACUGCCGGGGUCAACUCGGAGGAAGGUGGGGACGACGUCAAAUCAUCAUGCCCCUUAUGUCUUGGGCUUCACGCAUGCUACAAUGGCCGGUACAAAGGGUUGCGAUACUGUGAGGUGGAGCUAAUCCCAAAAAGCCGGUCUCAGUUCGGAUUGGGGUCUGCAACUCGACCCCAUGAAGUCGGAGUCGCUAGUAAUCGCAGAUCAGCAACGCUGCGGUGAAUACGUUCCCGGGCCUUGUACACACC